UGACGGCCUUCGGGUUGUAAACCUCUUUCAGUAGGGAAGAAGCGAAAGUGACGGUACCUGCAGAAGAAGCGCCGGCUAACUACGUGCCAGCAGCCGCGGUAAUACGUAGGGCGCAAGCGUUAUCCGGAAUUAUUGGGCGUAAAGAGCUCGUAGGCGGUUUGUCGCGUCUGCCGUGAAAGUCCGGGGCUCAACUCCGGAUCUGCGGUGGGUACGGGCAGACUAGAGUGAUGUAGGGGAGACUGGAAUUCCUGGUGUAGCGGUGAAAUGCGCAGAUAUCAGGAGGAACACCGAUGGCGAAGGCAGGUCUCUGGGCAUUAACUGACGCUGAGGAGCGAAAGCAUGGGGAGCGAACAGGAUUAGAUACCCUGGUAGUCCAUGCCGUAAACGUUGGGCACUAGGUGUGGGGGACAUUCCACGUUUUCCGCGCCGUAGCUAGCGCAUUAAGUGCCCCGCCUGGGGAGUACGGCCGCAAGGCUAAAACUCAAAGGAAUUGACGGGGGCCCGCACAAGCGGCGGAGCAUGCGGAUUAAUUCGAUGCAACGCGAAGAACCUUACCAAGGCUUGACAUGGACCGGACCGCCGCAGAAAUGUGGUUUCCCCUUUGGGGCUGGUUUACAGGUGGUGCAUGGUUGUCGUCAGCUCGUGUCGUGAGAUGUUGGGUUAAGUCCCGCAACGAGCGCAACCCUCGUUCUAUGUUGCCAGCACGUG
This 708-nucleotide ribosomal RNA is filed under the name uncultured Arthrobacter sp. RNAcentral's name for it is "bacterial SSU rRNA". It matches the Rfam family "Bacterial small subunit ribosomal RNA", at positions 409 to 1127 of the family's 1533-position model. Lineage: Bacteria; Bacillati; Actinomycetota; Actinomycetes; Micrococcales; Micrococcaceae. The record is from RNAcentral.